This 495-nucleotide ribosomal RNA is filed under the name uncultured bacterium. Its description in RNAcentral is "partial 16S ribosomal RNA". It matches the Rfam family "Bacterial small subunit ribosomal RNA", at positions 28 to 507 of the family's 1533-position model. The record is from RNAcentral.
GAUGAACGCUGGCGGCGUGCUUAAUACAUGCAAGUCGAACGCUGAAGGCGGAGUUUGCUCUUCUGGAUGAGUUGCGAACGGGUGAGUAACGCGUAGGUAACCUGCCUGGUAGUGGGGGAUAACUAUUGGAAACGAUAGCUAAUACCGCAUGACAACACCUAUUGCAUGAUAACUGUUUAAAAGGGGCAACUGCUCCACUACCAGAUGGACCUGCGUUGCAUUAGCUAGUUGGUGAGGUAACGGCUCACUUAGGCGACGAUGCAUAGCCGACCUGAGAGGGUGAUCAGCCAGACUGGGACGGAGACACGGCCCAGUGGCCUACGGGUGGGAGCAGUAGGGAAACGUCGGCAAUGGGCGGAAGUCAGACCAAGCUACGCGGCGGGAGUGAAGAAGGUUGUCGGGUCGGAGAUGUCUGUUGUAGGAUAGGAACGAGCGUGAGAGUGUAAAGUUCACACUGUGACGGUAUCUGACCAGAAAGCAACGGCUAACUACGUG